This 482-nucleotide ribosomal RNA is filed under the name Guimaraesiella sp. IZGAS 8_J2881. RNAcentral describes it as "partial large subunit ribosomal RNA". It matches the Rfam family "Bacterial large subunit ribosomal RNA", at positions 1826 to 2597 of the family's 2925-position model. RNAcentral also lists the same sequence under 6 other names. Lineage: Eukaryota; Metazoa; Arthropoda; Insecta; Psocodea; Philopteridae. The record is from RNAcentral.
CUCUUCCUGAAUGAAUAGGAAGUAGGAUCUGCUCCAUGCAAAAAAGUAAAUUGCCGCAGUAUUUUGACUGUGCUAAGGUAGCAAAAUAAUUUGGCUUUUAAUUGGAGUCUGGAAUGAAUGAUCUGACAAGGUCUACUCUGUCUCAUCUGAAAAAAUGAAAAUUGGAUUGUUUGUAAAAAUACAAACAUAAAAGAGAGGGACGAAAAGACCCUAUAGAUCUUUACUUUGUUUAGUCUACUAUAUCAUUGAGAAUUAGAUAAAUAUAGUUUGCUUGGGAUAAGACUAAAAUUGAAUUUUGGUAAGAGAUAAAGAUAGAUUAGUCGAAUGGAUGAAUAAAUAAAAGAUAAGUUACCUUAGGGAUAACAGGAUAAUUCCUUUAUUUAGAACUUAUAGGUAAAGGAGUUUAUUACCUCGAUGUUGAAUUAAGUUAUCUCUCGCUUGUAGAAGGGCGUUGAGUCAGUCUGUUCGACUGUUGAAAACUU